RNAcentral lists this ribosomal RNA (1038 nucleotides) under uncultured bacterium. RNAcentral describes it as "bacterial SSU rRNA". It matches the Rfam family "Bacterial small subunit ribosomal RNA", at positions 353 to 1371 of the family's 1533-position model. The record is from RNAcentral.
AGUGGGGAAUCUUUCGCAAUGGACGAAAGUCUGACGGAGCGACACCGCGUGGGGGAUGACGGCUUUCGGGUUGUAAACCCCUUUUCUGGGGGAAGAAUAAGGUCGGGAGGAAAUGCCCGUCCGAUGACGGUACCCCAGGAAUAAGCAUCGGCUAACUUCGUGCCAGCAGCCGCGGUAAGACGAAGGAUGCAAGCGUUAUCCGGAAUUACUGGGCGUAAAGGGCGUCUAGGCGGUCGGGCAAGUCACUUGUGAAAGCCCUCAGCUCAACUGAGGAACGUCAGGUGAAACUGUUCGGCUUGGGUGCAGGAGAGGAGGGUGGAACUCACAGAGUAGCGGUGGAAUGCGUAGAUACUGUGAGGUACCCCGAUGGCGAAGGCAACCCUCUGGCCUGCUACCGACGCUGAAGCGCGAAAGCGUGGGGAGCAAAGGGGAUUAGAUACCCCCGUAGUCCACGCCGCAAACGAUGUUCACUGGGUGUCGGUCACACAUAUAGAUCGGUGCCGGAGCUAACGCGUUAAGUGAACCGCCUGGGGAGUACGGCCGCAAGGCUAAAACUCAAGAGAAUUGACGGGUCCCUGCACAAGCGGUGGAGCACGUGGUUUAAUUCGAUGAUAAGCGAAGAACCUCACCUGGGCUUGACAUACUAGUGGUAGGAACCUGAAAGGGCGACGACCCUUCCCUUCGGGGUUGGGAGCUAGCACAGGUGAUGCAUGGCUGUCGUCAGCUCGUGUCGUGGGACGUAGGGUUAAGUCCCGAAACGAGCGCAACCCUUGUCGUUAGUUGCCAGCGGGUAAUGCCGGGGACUCUAACGAGACUGCUGGUGAAUAGCCGGAGGAAGGAGGGGAUGACGUCAAGUCAUCAUGUCCCUUAUGCCCAGGGCGACACACAUGCUACAAUGGGAGGUACAAAGGGUCGCAAUACCGUAAGGUGGAGCCAAUCCAUAAAAACCUUCCUUAGUUCGGAUUGAGGUCUGCAACUCGACCUCAUGAAGCCGGAAUCGCUAGUAAUCGCGGGUCAGCCAUACCGCGGUGAAUAUGU